CCGUAGGAGCGAAGUAGAAUGGCGCCCCCAGCGGCUUGGGGUGGGAUCUCAGUGCCUCAUUCCUAGGGGCCCCGGGAGGGCGAUGCCAAGUUUCGCUCUUGUUCCCUGGGCUGGAGUGCAGUGGCACCAUCUCGGCUCACCACAACCUCCGCCUCCCGGGUUCAAGCGAUUCUCCUGCCUCAGCCUCCCCAGUAUCUGGGAUUACAGGUAUGCGCCACCACGCCCGGCUAAUUUUGUAUUUUUAGUAGAGAUGGGGUUUCUCCAUGUUGGUCAGGCUGGUCUCGAACUCCCAACCUCAGGUGAUUCUCCCACCUCGGCCUCCCAAAGUACUGGGAUUACAGGCGUGAGCCACUAUGCCUGGCCUACUAAUACUAGGUUUUAUUCCGGGCCCUUCACAGUUAAUGUUGGAGGCCUCUGGAGGAUGGCCAGACCUGGGCUAUUUGCAGAAGCCUGGACAGCACAGCAAGCGGAGUUAAAGCAGUUAAGGCAGUAUCAGCUGAAGGGCCACCCAGCUGUGCGUGUGCCCAGGCUCCAAGAAUAAGGAGGUUGGGAGGCAGUCCUAAGAAAGGAAGUCAUUACCCAUCUGCCAGGAGCAGACGCUGGCAUAACGGUUCACACACAGAAAAGGUCAGAGGUUCUUCUCAGAACAGUCCUUAGGUGUUAGUCAAAAUUCAUUCACUCACUCACUGGUUCUGUUUAUUCACUCACUUCUCUAUCACAUAUCCAUUUAUUGUCAUUCACCUACUUAUUUACUCAUACAUUCAUUCAUUUGCUCAUCAAUUUAUUUGGUACCUACAUGGAGCCAGGUACAGGUCUUGAUUAAAGAGAUCUGGGGAGGAGUGCUCCCAGGAAGUUCAGAGCCUCACUGGUGAAGGACAGCCAUAUAAAGACAGAUCUUGCGAACCCAAGAUCAUCAAGGAGUAUCCAUGAUCAAGCAGAGCAGGGAAGGCUUUUUGUUUUGUUUUGUUUUGUUUUUAACAUGCUGUGUGGUUCAGUAAAAUUAAAACAGGCACAAUGAUAUCCUGGAUGACAAGAGCUGGAGGCUGUCAUUCUAACAAUGUAGUGGGACUGGCUGUCUUGUCUCAUGCCCAACCCUGGAAACAUGCGCAGGAACUCAAGCACCUAGCACAGAGGAAGUGUCUGGUUGUUUUAAAGGAAACACAAAACCAAAAAAAGCACCUCCUGCUCUGACCACCCCUAUUUCCAGUUUUCCCUUUUGGCACAGCAAAGAUGACCUUGGGACUGAGGUGGAACCAUGUAAUUCUUCAUAAUCCCAGAGUCAGGCAGACCUGGGUAUGAAUUCCAUCUUUACUAACUGCGUGACUCACUGUGUGGCCACGCCAAGUUACGAGGUCUCUCUGUUUCCUCCUUCCUAAAAAGGAGAUAACACCCAUCUCGAAGGAAGAUCUGGCCUGAAGAGCAGUCACUCUUGCCUGGCAUGCAGAGAAUGCCAAAUCAUAUCAAUGACUGGCCAGAAUGAAGUGCAUGACCUCAUCACUCCAUAACUGACAGGAAACAACUGCUGGGGCAAGAAAAAAGGGUCUCCAGUGAGUGUUCUUGUCCACACACAUCCCCACUCACGUUCCUGGACCACUGCAUCUAACUGCCGCAGCAGCUAAUGAACCUUCUGGAAUAAAGGACCAGUUUCUUAAGAAGGGAUUGAGACCUCCAGUGGCCUGCCACAUGGUUUCCGGCAAGAAUUUAAAAAUUAUUUGUAACAUAUAGUAAUAAAAACUAACCACAGGCUGGGUGCCAUGGCUCAUGCCUGUAAUCCCAGCACUUUGGGAGGCUGAGGCGGGCGGAUCACCUGAGGUCAGAAGUUCGACACCAGCCUGAUCAAUAUGGUGAAACCCCGUUUCUCCUAAAAAUACAAUUAUUAGCUGGGCAUGGUGGCGGGCACCUGUAAUCCCAGCUACUCAGGAGGCUGAAACAGGAGAACUGCUUGAAUCUGGGAGGCGGAUGUUGCAGUGAGCCGAUAUCGCGCCAUUGCACUCCAGCCUGGGCAAUGACUCCGUCUC
This 2018-nucleotide non-coding RNA is filed under the name Pongo abelii (Sumatran orangutan). The record is from RNAcentral. Lineage: Eukaryota; Metazoa; Chordata; Mammalia; Primates; Hominidae.